Molecule: long non-coding RNA, 3103 nt
Filed under: Varroa destructor (honeybee mite)
Lineage: Eukaryota; Metazoa; Arthropoda; Arachnida; Mesostigmata; Varroidae
Description: uncharacterized LOC111243651, transcript variant X3
Source: RNAcentral
UUCAAUGCGUGCUCUAUCGACACCGGAGUCGAGGUAGUUCCUGGCCGAUUCGACCGCUUUUAUCCGCUACGAUUUCCCAUUCUCAGCAUUGGGGUCGUCGUUGUGAUGGGCAGCAACAAAACCCAGUGUGGUCCUGCGACCCAUUUUCAAUCACCUUCCUCUAUAUAAUGUGCCACAUGUCCCACGCCUAUGAGUCCCUGAACCAAGAGUGGGUUUCGCAACUUUCACUUUUUUUUUUCCAUUAUAGAAACGAAGUGAGUAUCGUUUAUUUUUGCCAUUUGCUGUUUACUCGAUCGCUAAUACGACUGCUGUGCCCAGUUACAUAUGCGCCAUAAGUAGUAUACGACCGGGCUUGUGCGGCACACUUCGAUAAACAUUCGAACUUCAUCCCAACAGAGACAACUCGUUAAGGCCACGCCAACCUCGACCGAAGGGCUUGGAACUGUUCUUGCCGAUUAUCCGUUGUUGGUGGUCUGGUCUUAUCCGUUCAUUAGCAGCCUAAGGUAUAUUGCCUUGUCGUCGCGAAUUCGUUCGAAAAUUAAUGAACAUGGGAAAACACCAGUAGCUCAUGUAGUCGAACCGGCAGAAGCAGUAGCUGCCGAAGAGAUGACAGCCAAAAUGCGCAGAUAACGAAAUCGGACGAAAACUCCGAUCCGCCCUGCGUCGUCCCGCUGGUCUGCUGCCUCGCAGGACUAAGUCCUUCGCGAUGCAAACAAAGCCGCUUUCGCCAAAAUCUGAAACAGUGAAGUCGUUGGCCGGGCAUCAGGAGCAACAAAAAAAUUAGGUGGUCAUCACCGUUGAGGACUUCAGAAGACAACAACGGCACCAGUGACCCGAGCGUCAACCAGUCCAAUGCCACUAAUCGAACAUGGAAGAUAAUGUUGUACGGCAUAGUCUUUUUGUCCUUUCUACGAUAGCAUUUGAACCUGCUGUCGAGAUACCACGCCUCUGGUUGGCCUGACGCGCACGAGAUGUCUACAGCCCCAGUAUAGAUGCACUCUAUGCGGCAAACACAACUUCUACGCGGGUUUACUAGGUUUCCUAGGUAUUACUACAGUGCGAGCUUCCGACAAGGCUGCCAAGCAGUUGGAUGAGCCAACAAUGAAUCCACUAAAAGAGAAGGAAGGAAAUUUGCUGUAGGAUAGAGAUCGAUAUAGCAGCCGUUUUUUCGGCAAAAGACGGUUGGCUUCUGUUCAUUGAAAAAACGCAUCUAGACAGCCAUAAUACCAAAGACGAUGUGGCACGGAAGUUACGACACGUUGAGAUAGACAGACAGAUGAAUGCGGAGCAAGGUUAAGUUAGGUUGGGGGCGACCUGCGGAGGAGGUAAUGGAGGGAGGCCUGAAGCGCGAGAAGGUCAGAAAAAUUGUUUCAGAUUCACUGAGCAAGUGAGCGUUCAAUUCGCAGGCAUAUGCGCAGACGUGUAAUCCUGGCAUCGCGUACCUGAGCAAAACUCUUCCGAGCGACAACUUUUCUCGUUGCGCCGUAAGAUCGAUUGGCGGCCAUGUAGGUCAGAAGUGGGUGACUACUAAGGCUGCAGGAAUGGUAAUAUCUAAGUAUUUCUUCCUCGGUGAUCUCCAUUGAGAGUCCCGGCGCCUCGCAUACGUAUCCGCAUCCGCAGUUAUCAGAAAUGCCACGCACUCACCGAAGAUGGGCUCCGUCGUCGGCUGGCGACCAAACUCUCUCAGUUCCUCUCUCUGAGAGAAUUUUGCUGAGUGUUGGGGAAGGUAUGAGCUAUAUGGAUGUUGGAGGUACAUGAGGUACGCGCUGUGCGAAUUGCAUAUAGACUACUACUACGUAGAGUUUGUGGGCCACUGCAUUCGAACGAGUCUCCUGGGUCGACCAACCUUUGAGGUCGCCAUCCUGUGGGAACGGGCGCGAUUCUUUCGAAGCAGCCCAGUGGUGGGCGCAUAAACACCGGCUUAACAGGCAACGAUCCGUCCCGUUGAAAAGAUGGCGGAGAACAGGCAGGAUAAACUGAAUUGGCGAAAAAAUCCAAAGGAAGACAGUGCAUCGACGAGUCAGAAACAGCGCCAUCGUGACACAGAUUUACUAAUCUUUGUAUAGCGUAUGUCCAAGCAGCCCAUGUAUGGUAAAUCAGUUGUUUCUUUCGGAAAACUUAACAACCAGCUAAACCUGCUCGCUACCUUCGCCCUCACCGUUGCUGCCUUUAUGCUACACCUAUCUGGCUACCUGCACAGAUGUAAAUAUUCUAUAACUAUCCUUACGAAUUCCUGGGGACUGUACCGUUUAGUCGUUAUCUCAGGACCAACAAGUUGGCCAACUAUCGCCGGUUCAUCAAGGAGGUUCCCACCGUUACGGAACUAGCUCAGUCACGACGCCCUUCACCGGCCGAAGCAGGCCGAACGGCGGCAGCGGCGAUCCGUCUGCGGUAAACGCAUUGUCAAGGCGCCGUAGUAAUACUACGAUUGUUGUAAUAGGUGAGUGUUUGCGUGUUCGCAUCUACGUUACUUAACUUCGAAGUCUGCACACACAAGCACACGCUUACUAAGAGGAGACCUUUGAUAUAUGACGUAGCCGAACAAGCUACAAAAAAGACAUUGUAGCCACUUUGAACAGUGGCGGACUACUUGGGCCCGUUUCAGACCACGAAGCUGGGUGAAACCGUUGCCCGUCAUCGCGUUUUACCGCUUGUUUAGGCUGCGUAUGACUACAACGCAAUGAGUACUAUUCUCUCGAUCAUUUUACUAUCCCAGUUGAGGUUCUUUCAGAGCUGUAGCGCCAAUUCCCACAGAGAACGCGCGCGCGUUAAACGCUGCUAAAUGUUCUAGACUCUGAUCAUCGGCACUCGUAACCAGCAGAACCAGGACCUGCUAUCAGGCACACACCCAACCGUCUGGCAGGACAUGCUGAGCAACGGAUAGCGGCCCUAGCCAUAGCAGAAUUGGCUUGAUCCGCCUGAUCCGAUUGUCAGAGCUAACGUCCAGUGUGCGGACUGUGCCAAUUAUAGGCUAGACGCACAGACAAAGAUAGAUGCAAAAAAAUAGGGUUUAAAAACAAAGGCAGAUGAAAGCCCGUUGAACAUCCUGGAGAGAUCUUAAACGAAUUCAAAAAGCCACAAGGACGGCAACGUAUAAAAAGGA